GACGAACGCUGGCGGCGUGCCUAAUACAUGCAAGUCGAGCGGAUUUUACGCUUCCUUCGGGAAGCGUAGAGUUAGCGGCGGACGGGUGAGUAACACGUAGGCAACCUGCCUGCAAGACCGGGAUAACAAUCGGAAACGAUUGCUAAUACCGGAUACGCGAUUUUCUCGCAUGGGAGAAUCGGGAAAGACGGUUUCGGCUGUCACUUGCAGAUGGGCCUGCGGCGCAUUAGCUAGUUGGUGGGGUAACGGCUCACCAAGGCGACGAUGCGUAGCCGACCUGAGAGGGUGAUCGGCCACACUGGGACUGAGACACGGCCCAGACUCCUACGGGAGGCAGCAGUAGGGAAUCUUCCGCAAUGGACGCAAGUCUGACGGAGCAACGCCGCGUGAGUGAUGAAGGUUUUCGGAUCGUAAAGCUCUGUUGCCAGGGAAGAACGGGUGGAGGAGUAACUGCCUUCACCAUGACGGUACCUGAGAAGAAAGCCCCGGCUAACUACGUGCCAGCAGCCGCGGUAACAC
RNAcentral lists this ribosomal RNA (519 nucleotides) under uncultured bacterium. RNAcentral's name for it is "bacterial SSU rRNA". It matches the Rfam family "Bacterial small subunit ribosomal RNA", at positions 28 to 526 of the family's 1533-position model. The record is from RNAcentral.